RNAcentral lists this ribosomal RNA (400 nucleotides) under phytoplankton environmental sample. RNAcentral describes it as "partial small subunit ribosomal RNA". It matches the Rfam family "Eukaryotic small subunit ribosomal RNA", at positions 587 to 986 of the family's 1831-position model. The record is from RNAcentral.
AGCUCCAAUAGCGUAUAUUAACGUUGUUGCAGUUAAAAAGCUCGUAGUUGGAUUUCUGACAGGAGUGACCGGUCCGAGCCUCACGGUUCGUGUACUUUGUGUUGUCUCUAGUCAUCCUUGCGGAGAGCGUGUUUGGCAUUAAGUUGCCGAGCGCGGGACCCGCAUCGUUUACUGUGAAAAAAUUAGAGUGUUUAAAGCAGGCAUACGCUGUGAAUACAUUAGCAUGGAAUAAUAAGAUAGGACUUUGGUACUAUUUUGUUGGUUUGCAUACCAAGGUAAUGAUUAAGAGGGACAGUUGGGGGUAUUCGUAUUUAAUUGUCAGAGGUGAAAUUCUUGGAUUUAUUGAAGACGAACUACUGCGAAAGCAUUUACCAAGGAUGUUUUCAUUAAUCAAGAACGA